GGGUUGUGAGGUUAAGCGACUAAGCGUACACGGUGGAUGCCCUGGCAGUCAGAGGCGAUGAAGGACGUGCUAAUCUGCGAUAAGCGUCGGUAAGGUGAUAUGAACCGUUAUAACCGGCGAUUUCCGAAUGGGGAAACCCAGUGUGUUUCGACACACUAUCAUUAACUGAAUCCAUAGGUUAAUGAGGCGAACCGGGGGAACUGAAACAUCUAAGUACCCCGAGGAAAAGAAAUCAACCGAGAUUCCCCCAGUAGCGGCGAGCGAACGGGGAGCAGCCCAGAGCCUGAAUCAGUGUGUGUGUUAGUGGAAGCGUCUGGAAAGGCGCGCGAUACAGGGUGACAGCCCCGUACACAAAAAUGCACAUAUUGUGAGCUCGAUGAGUAGGGCGGGACACGUGGUAUCCUGUCUGAAUAUGGGGGGACCAUCCUCCAAGGCUAAAUACUCCUGACUGACCGAUAGUGAACCAGUACCGUGAGGGAAAGGCGAAAAGAACCCCGGCGAGGGGAGUGAAAAAGAACCUGAAACCGUGUACGUACAAGCAGUGGGAGCACGCUUAGGCGUGUGACUGCGUACCUUUUGUAUAAUGGGUCAGCGACUUAUAUUCUGUAGCAAGGUUAACCGAAUAGGGGAGCCGAAGGGAAACCGAGUCUUAACUGGGCGUUAAGUUGCAGGGUAUAGACCCGAAACCCGGUGAUCUAGCCAUGGGCAGGUUGAAGGUUGGGUAACACUAACUGGAGGACCGAACCGACUAAUGUUGAAAAAUUAGCGGAUGACUUGUGGCUGGGGGUGAAAGGCCAAUCAAACCGGGAGAUAGCUGGUUCUCCCCGAAAGCUAUUUAGGUAGCGCCUCGUGAAUUCAUCUCCGGGGGUAGAGCACUGUUUCGGCAAGGGGGUCAUCCCGACUUACCAACCCGAUGCAAACUGCGAAUACCGGAGAAUGUUAUCACGGGAGACACACGGCGGGUGCUAACGUCCGUCGUGAAGAGGGAAACAACCCAGACCGCCAGCUAAGGUCCCAAAGUCAUGGUUAAGUGGGAAACGAUGUGGGAAGGCCCAGACAGCCAGGAUGUUGGCUUAGAAGCAGCCAUCAUUUAAAGAAAGCGUAAUAGCUCACUGGUCGAGUCGGCCUGCGCGGAAGAUGUAACGGGGCUAAACCAUGCACCGAAGCUGCGGCAGCGACACUGUGUGUUGUUGGGUAGGGGAGCGUUCUGUAAGCCUGUGAAGGUGUGCUGUGAGGCAUGCUGGAGGUAUCAGAAGUGCGAAUGCUGACAUAAGUAACGAUAAAGCGGGUGAAAAGCCCGCUCGCCGGAAGACCAAGGGUUCCUGUCCAACGUUAAUCGGGGCAGGGUGAGUCGACCCCUAAGGCGAGGCCGAAAGGCGUAGUCGAUGGGAAACAGGUUAAUAUUCCUGUACUUGGUGUUACUGCGAAGGGGGGACGGAGAAGGCUAUGUUGGCCGGGCGACGGUUGUCCCGGUUUAAGCGUGUAGGCUGGUUUUCCAGGCAAAUCCGGAAAAUCAAGGCUGAGGCGUGAUGACGAGGCACUACGGUGCUGAAGCAACAAAUGCCCUGCUUCCAGGAAAAGCCUCUAAGCAUCAGGUAACAUCAAAUCGUACCCCAAACCGACACAGGUGGUCAGGUAGAGAAUACCAAGGCGCUUGAGAGAACUCGGGUGAAGGAACUAGGCAAAAUGGUGCCGUAACUUCGGGAGAAGGCACGCUGAUAUGUAGGUGAAGCGACUUGCUCGUGGAGCUGAAAUCAGUCGAAGAUACCAGCUGGCUGCAACUGUUUAUUAAAAACACAGCACUGUGCAAACACGAAAGUGGACGUAUACGGUGUGACGCCUGCCCGGUGCCGGAAGGUUAAUUGAUGGGGUCAGCGCAAGCGAAGCUCUUGAUCGAAGCCCCGGUAAACGGCGGCCGUAACUAUAACGGUCCUAAGGUAGCGAAAUUCCUUGUCGGGUAAGUUCCGACCUGCACGAAUGGCGUAAUGAUGGCCAGGCUGUCUCCACCCGAGACUCAGUGAAAUUGAACUCGCUGUGAAGAUGCAGUGUACCCGCGGCAAGACGGAAAGACCCCGUGAACCUUUACUAUAGCUUGACACUGAACAUUGAGCCUUGAUGUGUAGGAUAGGUGGGAGGCUUAGAAGUGUGGACGCCAGUCUGCAUGGAGCCGACCUUGAAAUACCACCCUUUAAUGUUUGAUGUUCUAACGUUGACCCGUAAUCCGGGUUGCGGACAGUGUCUGGUGGGUAGUUUGACUGGGGCGGUCUCCUCCUAAAGAGUAACGGAGGAGCACGAAGGUUGGCUAAUCCUGGUCGGACAUCAGGAGGUUAGUGCAAUGGCAUAAGCCAGCUUGACUGCGAGCGUGACGGCGCGAGCAGGUGCGAAAGCAGGUCAUAGUGAUCCGGUGGUUCUGAAUGGAAGGGCCAUCGCUCAACGGAUAAAAGGUACUCCGGGGAUAACAGGCUGAUACCGCCCAAGAGUUCAUAUCGACGGCGGUGUUUGGCACCUCGAUGUCGGCUCAUCACAUCCUGGGGCUGAAGUAGGUCCCAAGGGUAUGGCUGUUCGCCAUUUAAAGUGGUACGCGAGCUGGGUUUAGAACGUCGUGAGACAGUUCGGUCCCUAUCUGCCGUGGGCGCUGGAGAACUGAGGGGGGCUGCUCCUAGUACGAGAGGACCGGAGUGGACGCAUCACUGGUGUUCGGGUUGUCAUGCCAAUGGCACUGCCCGGUAGCUAAAUGCGGAAGAGAUAAGUGCUGAAAGCAUCUAAGCACGAAACUUGCCCCGAGAUGAGUUCUCCCUGACCCUUUAAGGGUCCUGAAGGAACGUUGAAGACGACGACGUUGAUAGGCCGGGUGUGUAAGCGCAGCGAUGCGUUGAGCUAACCGGUACUAAUGAACCGUGAGGCUUAACCUUACAACGCCGAAG
Molecule: ribosomal RNA, 2924 nt
Filed under: Escherichia coli
Lineage: Bacteria; Pseudomonadati; Pseudomonadota; Gammaproteobacteria; Enterobacterales; Enterobacteriaceae
Description: bacterial LSU rRNA
Rfam family: Bacterial large subunit ribosomal RNA
Source: RNAcentral